RNAcentral lists this ribosomal RNA (468 nucleotides) under uncultured bacterium. Its description in RNAcentral is "partial 16S ribosomal RNA". It matches the Rfam family "Bacterial small subunit ribosomal RNA", at positions 28 to 507 of the family's 1533-position model. The record is from RNAcentral.
GAUGAACGCUGGCGGCGUGCUUAACACAUGCAAGUCGAACGGUGAAGGCGGAGCUUGCUCUGCUGGAUCAGUGGCGAACGGGUGAGUAACACGUGAGCAAUCUGCCCCUGACUCUGGGAUAAGCGCUGGAAACGGCGUCUAAUACUGGAUACGAGCUGCGAAGGCAUCUUCAGCAGCUGGAAAGAAUUUCGGUCAGGGAUGAGCUCGCGGCCUAUCAGUUUGUUGGUGAGGUAAUGGCUCACCAAGGCGUCGACGGGUAGCCGGCCUGAGAGGGUGACCGGCCACACUGGGACUGAGACACGGCCCAGACUCCUACGGGAGGCAGCAGUGGGGAAUAUUGCACAAUGGGCGAAAGCCUGAUGCAGCAACGCCGCGUGAGGGACGACGGCCUUCGGGUUGUAAACCUCUUUUAGCAGGGAAGAAGCGAAAGUGACGGUACCUGCAGAAAAAGCGCCGGCUAACUACGUG